CCUACGGGAGGCAGCAGUGGGGAAUAUUGGGCAAUGGGCGCAAGCCUGACCCAGCAACGCCGCGUGAAGGAAGAAGGCUUUCGGGUUGUAAACUUCUUUUCUCAGGGACGAAGCAAGUGACGGUACCUGAGGAAUAAGCCACGGCUAACUACGUGCCAGCAGCCGCGGUAAUACGUAGGUGGCAAGCGUUAUCCGGAUUUACUGGGUGUAAAUGGGCGUGUAGGCGGGGACGCAAGUCAGAUGUGAAAACCACGGGCUCAACCUGUGGCCUGCAUUUGAAACUGUGUUUCUUGAGUACUGGAGAGGCAGACGGAAUUCCUGGUGUAGCGGUGAAAUGCGUAGAUAUUAGGAGGAACACCAGUGGCGAAGGCGGUCUGCUGGACAGCAACUGACGCUGAGGCGCGAAAGCGUGGGGAGCAAACAGGAUUAGAUACCCUAGUAGUC
This 444-nucleotide ribosomal RNA is filed under the name uncultured bacterium. RNAcentral describes it as "partial 16S ribosomal RNA". It matches the Rfam family "Bacterial small subunit ribosomal RNA", at positions 338 to 795 of the family's 1533-position model. The record is from RNAcentral.